RNAcentral lists this ribosomal RNA (465 nucleotides) under uncultured bacterium. RNAcentral's name for it is "partial 16S ribosomal RNA". It matches the Rfam family "Bacterial small subunit ribosomal RNA", at positions 28 to 507 of the family's 1533-position model. The record is from RNAcentral.
GAUGAACGCUGGCGGCGUGCUUAACACAUGCCAGUCGAACGGAAAGGCUCCUGCUUGCAGGGGUACUCGAGUGGCGAACGGGUGAGUAACACGUGGGUGAUCUGCCCUGCACUUCGGGAUAAGCCUGGGAAACUGGGUCUAAUACCGGAUAGGACCACAUUUUGGAUGGUGUGGUGGAAAGUUUUUCGGUGUGGGAUGAGCUCGCGGCCUAUCAGCUUGUUGGUGGGGUAAUGGCCUACCAAGGCGUCGACGGGUAGCCGGCCUGAGAGGGUGUACGGCCACAUUGGGACUGAGAUAGGGCCAAGACUCAUACGGGAGGAAGGAGUGGGGAAUAUUGCACAAUGGGCGGAAGCCUGAUGCAGCGACGCCGCGUGGGGGAUGACGGCCUUCGGGUUGUAAACUCCUUUCGCUAGGGACGAAGCGCAAGUGACGGUACCUGGAGAAGAAGCACCGGCUAACUACGUG